UAGAAUUCCAGACAAUUCAGAACAAAUACUACAAAUCAGAGACCAUACUCUAACCUCCUUUCCAUCUUACACUUUUGAAAGACAACUUAGAAGUGCAAAGGACAGUGAGCAACUCCACGCUAAUAGUUAACAUUGAGCCUUUAUUUUGACUUUCUUCUGUUGAGCUGGAGUUAAAUUUGUCUUCAGUAAAAACUUUGCUCAGCUUCUCUAUGGUGCAUAUCAUAUUGUCUCUAAUGUAAAAUGUUCAAUAGGCAUGAAAGGCUGAGUGUAGGCUUGUCAUUCACACAGGAAGACCAGAGUAUAAUGGGUAAGGGAAAAAGAAUAAAUCUUUUUGGGAUGCCAUUUUCACAACAAUAAGUAUUGUGUUCAAUUUA
Molecule: long non-coding RNA, 374 nt
Filed under: Homo sapiens (human)
Lineage: Eukaryota; Metazoa; Chordata; Mammalia; Primates; Hominidae
Description: HSALNT0078216
Source: RNAcentral